ACAUCUGGACUCUUUUAGAGUUGUGUCCUCUAAUUGUAACCUAGACACUGAGCGAAGUGCCUUCCUGAAUUCAGCAAGGGGAUUAUCAACCUGAGAUGGCUUGUGGAACCCCAACUUUUAAAUACUCAAUAGUCAAAACUAAGACUAGCCCCUGGUACUCACAGUGGUACCUCGUAAAAGCAUCUGGCUUGCCAGUGGCUCAGUUUUCAUCACCCAAGGCGGCAGAACUGUGUGGCGGCCACUACCUCAGAGACUGAGAAGAGUCUUAGAAGAGUCUGGCGGUUUCCAGCUGCUUCCUGAGCCCUUGGGCUGUGGGGUGGAGCCUUUGGCCGUGCAUGGUGGCACACGCCUUUAAUCCCAGCACUACAGGAGCCGUGGGAAGGAGCUAGUGAGCAAGCUGAGAAUGGGGUUCGGUACUCUAAAUCCAGGGACCUGCCUGGAACAGUUUUCUUUGGUGUGACUUUAUUUAAAAGUGGAACCUAAUGAUGACAGAAGUCCCAAAGCCACAAUCUCAUAAAAAGCAUGGAUUUCAGUCCUUACAAAAAUAGGACAUCUUCAAAAUUCAUGGCAACCAUUUCCCCAAGGCAAUAACUGUUCCUUUAAAAGUAUCGAUCUGCUAAGGCUGUGUCAUGUCUGUGUUCUAUAAGUACUUAUUCGCUUUUUAAAAACCUAUCACUCGUGUGUAUGCCUGUGCAAUGUGAAUGCAUGUGCAUUGUAAAGCACAACUCUGAACGUUGUAGUGGCAAUUUUUUUUUUCCAGACUGUCCACAGCAGCUGAUUGUGAUUUGCCUCGUGCUCUAGCAAGGGCAGAAUUUUUCCAACUGUAGAUAGUUUCUGCAAUUGUGUGAUAUUUGGAAUUCUAGAGCCCCAGUAGGUGGGGUGGUGGGUUGUUGGUUGGUUGCUUAUGGUUGUUGUUGGUCUCAGUUUGUUAAGUAGUCAUACACAAAGAAAAAGAAAGAAGAAAUCGGAUAUCCUGAGGGCAAGGAUGAAACUUCCUCCAAGGAACUCCACAUCCCAAUCAGCAGGAAGUAGUCUAAUGGUAACAUCACACCCUUUUUCUUCUAUCCUGUUUUCUCUCCCCUCUAGUGUUAAGGAGUUGAAAGGGUGGGAAAGGGGUGAAGGGUGAAAGAAAGAAGAACCCAUAAAGUAGCAAAGGCUACAGAAGAUUCAUUCUCCUUUCACUGUGUGCCAUGGGAGUCAAGCCCAAGUUGUUCAGUGUGGGAAGCAGGUGCGGCUGCAUGGGCCAAGAUGGCACUCUGGCCCAUUGCCAGACCCCGUGAACCCCGCAUGUUUACUGCCUUGCCUGAGCAUGCGCAGUGAAAAAGCAUGCAUAUUCCUCGUGAUCCGGAUCUGUCAGCCUAUCUGUGACCUACCUGAGCUCGUGCCUGGUGUGUGUGUGAUUCUGAUUGGAUGAGGUGGUGUGGAGCAAGAUGAGGUCAGUUGCCGUGAGUAUAGGAGAAUAGCCCUUGCUGCAAGAAGGAGGAGUAGAAGAGGCUGCUGGGGAAAGAGCUGUAAGGGGAAAAGCACCAAGUAAAGAAGUU
Molecule: long non-coding RNA, 1541 nt
Filed under: Mus musculus (house mouse)
Lineage: Eukaryota; Metazoa; Chordata; Mammalia; Rodentia; Muridae
Description: long non-coding RNA chr2:164522216-164523757
Source: RNAcentral